UUGCCAGACUCCUACGGGAGGCAGCAGUGGGGGAUAUUGCACAAUGGGGGGAACCCUGAUGCAGCGACGCCGCGUGGGUGAAGAAGCGUUUCGGCGCGUAAAGCCCUGUCGGCAGGGAAGAAGGAGGACGGUACCUGACUAAGAAGCCCCGGCUAACUACGUGCCAGCAGCCGCGGUAAUACGUAGGGGGCAAGCGUUGUCCGGAAUUACUGGGUGUAAAGGGAGCGUAGGCGGGAUGGCAAGUUGGGUGUUAAAUCUACCGGCUCAACUGGUAGUCGCACUCAAAACUGCUAUUCUUGAGUGAAGUAGAGGCAGGCGGAAUUCCUAGUGUAGCGGUGAAAUGCGUAGAUAUUAGGAGGAACACCAGUGGCGAAGGCGGCCUGCUGGGCUUUUACUGACGCUGAGGCUCGAAAGUGUGGGGAGCAAACAGGAUUAGAUACCCUGGUACUC
Molecule: ribosomal RNA, 450 nt
Filed under: uncultured bacterium
Lineage: Bacteria
Description: bacterial SSU rRNA
Rfam family: Bacterial small subunit ribosomal RNA
Source: RNAcentral